UUUACCUCGGCCCUCGAGGGUGCCUCUGCCCGUGCCUGGGCCAGCGUCCAAUAACCUUUCCCUCGUGGCAUCUACAGCAACAGCCCUGCCGCCCCUUCCGACUCUGUCCCCAGCGCCCCCACAAUAGCACAGACAUUUCUUGCUAUGUUACUCUUUUGGUCUUCUUCUCGAACCUCCUCUCACUCCCCGUCCCCCUGACACUGGGCCAUCUUCCUCUGCCAGCCCUUCGCUGUUGUUCCGUAAGUUUCCCUGGGUUUCCUCCUCCGUCAUCUUUAUGCCCAUGGCAGUCAGAAGGAUCUCCCGCUCCCUCUGCACCUCACCCCACUUCUCUCCCUGGGCCACCUCGCCUCGUGGUACAGGGCAGCCAAGUCAUUCAAGCCAACUGCCGAAUGAACGAGGGCUACACAGCACCUGCCCAAGUCUGUGUUUCGAUGCCUCGAGCCUGAUGCCUCCAACUAACAUAGAAAUGCCAAGGCCCAGCAUGCUACCCUGGCCAUCCUACACCUUUGUUGAGAUCCAGAGGCUCAUGGACUUAAAAGUUCUUCAAAAAUGAAGCCAGCUAGCUUCUACCCCCAUACCACAGCAGCCCUGCACUGAUUGGUGCUCCCUGAACUCAGUGGCUCUGCCUCAGCAAGGAUAUGGUCUGAAGGACAGGUAUGGAGGCAGAAGAAGGUGAGUCAUGGCGGGGUGAUGGGCCUCACUACUAAUCUCAUCUUCCCAACAUCAAUUUCACCCAGGGCGGUGGACGAGGAUCCCCUAGUGGUUCCGUACGGUGAGGUUCUGUAGUUGCAGGAUGUGGUCUCCUCCUUCAAGUCCAUCUUUACGCAGAAGGCUGAGGGGGGAGGUGGCCAAGAAGCUCGCUUUUGUUUUUGCCUGACACCCCCUGGAGUAUCACUGUCCCAGGAGCCCCUUUGGACAUAGCCGUCUUAUGUUUGGGGCUAGGGUUCGUCUGCGGGUCCCACUGAAAAUAUUUAUUAGAGACAAGUAUCCAAGGAAGGAGGAAAACAGCAAUAACUGAAUAUGUGGGUUUGCUACCCACAGAAUGAGGCCAGGGAGGUUUCUGUGCAGGAACAGGUAGCUUGGGCUUGCAGGAGUCAUACAAGGAGUGAUGCCUUCAGACAACUGACUCCCAAGUUCCAUUUUCCCUGCACAGGUAAGGAACCAUCACACACUUGACUUUGCCUCCCCAGAGGCCAACUCACGAGGAGGAAUGGGCUUCCCUUGCUUCUUCCCAGGCAGAGCCGAGGUGACUCCAUGAGGCUGGGAGCUCUGCCUCUCGCUGAAGUCCAGAAGAAAACAUGUCUAUGGCCUCAGACAUGACAGAGUCUCCCUUGGCCUCGGCCGGUAUUUGACAGUCUCAACCCCACCUGCAGAGGUGCCUGUGAGAAAGGCUCUUGUUCCCACCCUAACACA
Long non-coding RNA from Rhinopithecus roxellana (golden snub-nosed monkey), 1413 nucleotides. RefSeq lists it as uncharacterized. The transcript is spliced from 3 exons. Lineage: Eukaryota; Metazoa; Chordata; Mammalia; Primates; Cercopithecidae. The record is from RefSeq and is a predicted model, not a curated record.